Musa acuminata subsp. malaccensis (wild Malaysian banana) is the source of this 750-nucleotide non-coding RNA. The record is from RefSeq and is a predicted model, not a curated record. Lineage: Eukaryota; Viridiplantae; Streptophyta; Magnoliopsida; Zingiberales; Musaceae.
CCUUGGGAAAUGUUGCAAUCGCCAUCAAAGCUUGGGUCUUCUUUCCAUUCUCUCCAGCGUAGUGAGAGGCUCGUGAAGGGAGUGUGACAUCAGUGCACAAUGACUCCUAUACAAGUCGCAGGAAAGCCAGCAUAUGAGGAAGGUCUCAACCGUAUCCAUGGAUGAGCCGGUGCAGGAGGAUAGAGGCCCCGCCCGCCACCGCGGCACGUCGGCCGGCGGGCACAAGGUUCGGCAGGUGUUGGCCAACGGCUGCAUGCUACUGGCCGGUGUCGGCGGCGGCACGCUGCUGGCGUGGUGGGCUCUCUCCUUCCACCAGUCUAACGAGCAGCUAUGGAUGGUGCCUGUGGGCCUCGUCCUCGCGGGUACGCCGGUCGUCGCGUGGCUGUCCAUCUUCGCUUCGGGCAUCUGCCGAAGUCUUCAGCUGCAAUUCGCUGCUGCACCGCCUGCGUCUUCCGGACCAGAAGAGAUGAUCAGAGGAGAGGGAAUGCAGGAGUUCCCUAUUCUUUGAUAUCUACUAUUAUUUUCUGUUCCUUUUCUUUUGUUUUACUUGUUUUAUUUGACAAAUUAUUCGAAUCAGAUCGGUUGAUAUGUUGAAAUUAUUGGAUGAAAGAAGAUUUUGGCAUCUUAAAAAAAUGCAUGAAUAUUUCAGAAAAACAAAGAAUAUCUCGAUAGUUUUAUGAAUGUAUUGUACUCUCACCUUCUAUAAGCAGAUGAGAAGAGGUUUUACAACCAUGAAAAUUCGAAGUCAAC